RNAcentral lists this unclassified non-coding RNA (223 nucleotides) under plant metagenome. RNAcentral's name for it is "partial contains small subunit ribosomal RNA, internal transcribed spacer 1, and 5.8S ribosomal RNA". The record is from RNAcentral.
UUUCCGUAGGUGAACCUGCGGAAGGAUCAUUAAAGAGAAUAUGCCCUUCGGGGUAGAUCUCCCACCCUUUGUUUAUAUUACCUUUGUUGCUUUGGCAGGCCCGUCUUCGGACCACCGGCUUCGGCUGGUCAGUGCUUGCCAGAGGACCCAAAACUCUUAUUAUUAAUGUCGUCUGAGUACUAUAUAAUAGUUUAAACUUUCAACAACGGAUCUCUUGGUUCUG